GGCGGAAUAGCUCAGUUGGUUAGAGCAGCGGAAUCAUAAUCCGCGUGUCGGGGGUUCGAGUCCCUCUUCCGCUAC
This 75-nucleotide transfer RNA is filed under the name Polystyrenella longa. RNAcentral describes it as "Planctomycetes bacterium Pla110 tRNA-Met". It matches the Rfam family "tRNA". Rfam says of the family: Transfer RNA (tRNA) molecules are approximately 80 nucleotides in length. The record is from RNAcentral. Lineage: Bacteria; Pseudomonadati; Planctomycetota; Planctomycetia; Planctomycetales; Planctomycetaceae.